RNAcentral lists this ribosomal RNA (395 nucleotides) under uncultured bacterium. RNAcentral describes it as "bacterial SSU rRNA". It matches the Rfam family "Bacterial small subunit ribosomal RNA", at positions 957 to 1353 of the family's 1533-position model. The record is from RNAcentral.
UAACGCGAAGAACCUUACCAGGUCUUGACAUCUUCUGCCAGGCUGAGAGAUCAGCUGUUCCCUUCGGGGACAGAAUGACAGGUGGUGCAUGGUUGUCGUCAGCUCGUGGCGUGAGAUGUUGGGUUAAGUCCCGCAACGAGCGCAACCCUUAUGAUCAGUUGCCAGCAUUCAGUUGGGCACUCUGGUCAGACUGCCGGUGACAAACCGGAGGAAGGCGGGGAUGACGUCAAAUCAUCAUGCCCCUUAUGACCUGGGCUACACACGUGCUACAAUGGGUGGUACAACGAGCAGCGAGACCGCGUGGUCAAGCGAAUCUCUAAAAACCAUCCUCAGUUCGGAUUGCAGGCUGCAACUCGCCUGCAUGAAGCUGGAAUCGCUAGUAAUCGCGGAUCAGC